GACGUCGUGGCCGAGUGGUUAAGGCGAUGGAUUGCUAAUCCAUUGCUCUCUGAGCGCGUGUGUUCGAAUCACAUCGACGUCG
Non-coding RNA from Nitzschia inconspicua, 82 nucleotides. The record is from the annotation of a GenBank genome assembly. NCBI's taxonomy places the organism in Eukaryota, Bacillariophyta, Bacillariophyceae, Bacillariales, Bacillariaceae.